UUCUCUACUGUGUCGUAAUACUUUCUCCAUGAUUCUUCUUUGAACUUUCCCACAACAAGCUAUAUCAAUUCAAAUAUCUUGUUCCAGCAAAUAUAUAAUAUAUUUUAAAAUUCUUGUUAUAGUUUUUGUUAUCUCUGUUCAAUCUAUAUCUCUCAAUUAAAACCCUUUUUCAACUUAGGAACUAGAUUCUUGUUUUCUCAAUUAAAACCCCUUUUUCAAUCUACAUCUCAAUUCUUAAAUUUCGUUCCACGAGAAAACAAUUGAUGGAGAUGAGCUGUAUGAAAAGAGGGUGAAUCUUUCAAAUUGGAAAAAAAAUAUUGAUGCGUGGGAUAUUUGCCCUAGAUCUAUAAAUAUUUGUGUAUAAUUUGGC
This 370-nucleotide long non-coding RNA is filed under the name Medicago truncatula (barrel medic). Its description in RNAcentral is "long non-coding RNA (MTRU_LNC003633)". The record is from RNAcentral. Lineage: Eukaryota; Viridiplantae; Streptophyta; Magnoliopsida; Fabales; Fabaceae.